This 687-nucleotide long non-coding RNA is filed under the name Monodelphis domestica (gray short-tailed opossum). Its description in RNAcentral is "lncRNA (ENSMODG00000037927.1)". Lineage: Eukaryota; Metazoa; Chordata; Mammalia; Didelphimorphia; Didelphidae. The record is from RNAcentral.
UAACCUUUCUGUCCUGGUCCUCUGUUUCAGGGUACAAUGAUGGGGGCAUUUGGAUAUAAUUAGGAUACCAUUGAGAAAUCCCAUUUGAACUUCAAAGCUGGAAUUUCAAUUUGGCAACUGUAUGGAGGAUGGAUUGGAGAAGAGAGAGACUUGAGCCUCCUGGUUGUAGCAUCUUCUCCCUGGAGUCUCAGGGAUCCAAUCAUUAUGACAAAGAAUAAAAAAGGAGAAGGCAAAACAGUUCAAGAAAACUGGAAAACAUAUUUUUUAAAAUCUGAUAUAUGAAAUUUUCCAAAAUCAUAGUCACUUCACCUCAACAAGGAAGCAAGGGGAUGCAUCUUUUCUUAUCUUUUGGGGCCUUGGUUAGUUAUAAUGAUUUUGUAGCAUUUACUUUUGUUUUUUUGUUCUGUUUACUUGUAUUCUAUUGUGUUUGUCGUGCAACACAAAUAUUGUUAAGGUAACAUUUUCUUGUUUCAACUUAUUUCUUUUUGCCUCUGCAUUUGCCAUAUUCAUCAUUUCUUAAAGUAGAGUAAUAUUCCAUUACUUUUAUGUCAUAGUUUGGCUAGCCAUGGCCCCAAUUAAUGAACAUCUACUUUGUCUCCAAUUCUUUGCUAUAAUACAUGUUACCAAUGAUGAUUUGUGUGUAAGAAAUGAUGCAGAAGAUGUCAAUAAACACAUGAAUGGCUAGCA